This is a long non-coding RNA of Haliotis rubra (blacklip abalone), 4162 nucleotides long. RefSeq lists it as uncharacterized. NCBI's taxonomy places the organism in Eukaryota, Metazoa, Mollusca, Gastropoda, Lepetellida, Haliotidae. The record is from RefSeq and is a predicted model, not a curated record. The transcript has 3 exons.
CGGUACGUCCGCAGGAGGGGCUCUAUAUAAGCCAGUAGCAGCGACCACCAUUGCUUUCAGAGCCGAGGUGGAGGCAGGGUCUCUCGCUCACCUCUCUCCCGCAACGAAGACAAGGCGUUGGCGACGGCAAGCCCCCAUGUCCUCGCCACGUCAUGCUUACUAUAGACGCUAAUACCUUAAAGAAAGCUGCAGUUUACACCGUGCAAGCCCUGAUCAGCUAUGAUAUUGAAGUCAUCUAGGCUAUAGAGUUGAAUAUGCAUCCUUCAUGUCACGUCGACAUGACGUGUCAAUAAAACUGGUUAUUGGACAUCAAGUGGACUAAUGUUACUGUCUCGGCACGUAAAUACAGCAGUGAUCUGUCUGUGUGAAGGUAGAAAAGCGAGCACGCCUGUAGAGUGUGGCAAACGUCACGGCCACUGUGAAGAUAUAGACUGCAUACUCCAUCUGUCAUCCACCGACGAUUUUAUACUUUGUUUCUUUCAAACAACUCACAUUCGUUCCUGACCCAAGCAGGCAUUUAUUCACCUUGUGGUUAUACUUAUAUUUAUUUAGGGAUCGAACAUUGUUCUGAGUUAAUGUUCGUACCGCUAAAUAACAGCUGGUUCUCGGACAGAAACCUGUUGGUUUAAUCGCACGUGCAGCUUGUCACCCCAGUAGCCACAUGGCAGUAAACCAGACCCACCAACAACAGUCCUGCUUAUAUCACGUGUCAACAUUGAUUACAUGCGCAGCGCAUGUGAACGCAUGACGACUCUCCUCAACAACCUUGACCCCUAUAAUGGCAGCUGGUCAUACAUUAAAGAUUAAUAAUCAAAUAUCCGAACUGACUGAAUUAAUUUUGGACGAGUUAAAACCUGUUGCUAUAUCACGACCUGUAUAUCAACUUUGUCUUUUUGUCUUAUUUUCCGCGAACUUUCUUUGAGGAUGGAGGACGAAAGACUCACAUUUUGUCCCAGAAAUAAAGUUGUCCCAUUUAAAAUCUGAAUUUCAGGAUCCGAGGCAAUCUAGUUUUGAGAUGGAUUUAUUUGUCAGUUUAUUGUCCAGGUUCUUGGAAACUGAUAAUGACUGAGGGUCUAUUGACCCCAUCGCGAAUCCGAACCUAAACAUAAAUAGCACGCUCUCUUCGGGGUUCAUAAAAAUGAAAGUCACACAGUUAAUGUCAGCCAAGGCUUGCAUGGCUUUUGUCUUGUAUGACAUAACUAGUUAGUAUUCGUGAACCUGCAUAUAAUAUUAAAUCUGGCUCAUACGUGUACCACACAACUCUCUGGAUUUAAUUAAUUUGUUGAUUUUCUUUGUCUACUCAACGGUAUCGGGCCAUGAUUUGAUAUAUAUCUCGUAACAUAUAAUGUCUAGCUUUGAUUGUGCACACUGCAUAACGUGUUCCACCUGGCCACUGCAGAAGUCCACUUGAUGAUCAAGCAUGCUUUGCAGUUAAGUGUGUAAGAUGGCACCCAGUAUCUAAACUAUUAGUCCAUGUAAUUAAUAUAUGGUAUCUUUCCGCAACGUAAACUUUAGUAGAUGAAUGAAGAUUGUCUUGAAAGGACAUUUGUUGCCCAACUCCUGAGGUUUUUGGACCCAAGUCAUGUAGGCCGCGUGUCAGCAUUAUCUAUUUAUACAUCGCGCUAGUUACGUAUUGGCAUAGCUGUAACCCAAACAGUUGUUGAUCCCAAAACAUAGUUAAUAAGGAGGACAGUGAUUAGUGGGUUUUCGUAUUAUUAUCCCUCCAAUAUGUAUAUAAAAUAAAGAAGAUAAAAGGGAAGAAAUCAAAGAAACCUAUUCACAGAAAUCGUUAUACAAGUUGUCAAUGGAGAAUUUCAAUUUCAAAUUUCUAGCUUAAGUACGACCAAUUGGAUACAAUAAUAUGAAAACAAAUAUGUAUUUUACAGGUGUUAUCGAAAAUAUGGUUAUUUAUGUUGAGUUAAAAAAAGUUGUAGCAUGUAACUCAAAACAAUCCCUUGCCACAGAUAUUACAUGUGUUUAAAGGAAUUGUAAACUUAUUUCUCUCCAAAUAAUCCAAAUUUGAAGUGACAGAUGUGACAUAAUGUGAUGUAGAAAGAAUACUAACACAUGCCUGUUGCUCGAACCCAAACUAUAUCAGUUUCAAACCCAUAGUCAAACAGAAAAUUACAGUAUUAAACGAUAAUUGUGUUUAAUGAAGUUGAUACAUGGACAUGCAAUGUUAAAUACGCAUGUGUACAUGUAAGCAAGUGCAUGGUAAAACUACAACUUCGUCUUCCUCCUAUACCAUCAUGUCCUUCUUCUUGUAUCUGUUAGAAUACUUAACAAAGGACAUCUUUGUCUCCACUAAAGACCAAAUGAGGAAAGUGUCGAAGUGAAAAAUGAUGUGCUCCUGAACAAGAAGGCAUUAUAGGAUGCUUCAAUGACAUUGAUGUAUUUGAAAUGUGUGUCAUCAUUUACUGACUAUUCAAUGGUAUUUACUCCUUGUUCUUCGUUUGAAAGCCAAUAUUGCCAGUCAUCUUGACGAUGUAAAUCUAUUGAAUGUGUUUUCCUCAUGGUAUCAACAUCUCUACUGUUAUCUUGCAUAAGUAACUUGAAUUAUGAAACAUAAGCUGAGGUUUGAUUGGUGUUGAUGAAAAGUGUCCAUAGGCGUCACUUUGAUAUAAUAUAUUGAUCUGAUAUAUCAGAGAUGCAUCACUUCCUGGCAAGUUCAAAUACAGGAAGUAGAUUUUUUAAGAAACAAAUCGGACUACAAAACCAAGUUUGAAUAUAUUACGUCAACCACUUCAUGUCCUUACAUCUGUUAGAAUACUGAACAACGGACACGUUUCUCUCCACUAAAGACCAAAUGAGGAAAGUGUCCAAGUGAAAAAGAAUGUGCUAAUGAACAAGAAGGCUGUCUCACGCUUCAAUGAAAUUGAUGUAUUUGAAAAUAUUCUUUCAACCACUUCAAAACCGACAAAUAUUAAUCAUGUACGACUAGAGGUGUGGGCAUGCAACUAAAAAUGCUGAAACAAGUAACAAUGUAUUUUCAACUGGUACAAACCGAAAAUAUAUGAAAACCGCGUAUCGAUACGACGAGCAUCACUGCCUGCUAUGCACCAAUGCAUGAAGCUGGUAUUAUAUAUACAUCCGACCGCAAAAUCAAGUUUGAAUCUAUUCUUCCUUUCAACCACUUCAAAACCGACAAAUAUUAAUCAGAAGUGUAGUCAUGCGACUGAAAAUGCUGAAACAAGUCACAAUGUAUUUUCAAGUGGUACACACCGAAAAUAUAUGAAAACCUUGUAUUGAUACUCCCAAUGUAUAAUGUUUGUCUGUGCACGCUUUGUAGUCAGCAAUCACACCCACAAAACGUACAAUAUCCGCUUUACGCUCAUUAAUAACGCCUGUAUAUGUCGAGUCUGUGCCUUGGUAUAUUGGGGCUUUUUGUUUUGUCUGAUAGGGGUUGGAAAGGGAAUGCGGAUCAUUAACAUGUACAUGCUGGAUCGUCAUUUUAGGAAUAGAGGAGAAAUGUCUGUUUGCAUUGGGGAUGGUUGUCAAUAUGGAAUAUUGAGAGUUGUGUGAUGUUGAUGGACAUACAUCCUAAGAAAAACACUUUUAUAAAAGAAACUAACAACCCAGCUCAUCCCAUAUGUAGACACAGUAUUAAUCUUAUCUCUGGUGGCUCACAUAACAGCCAUGAAAACGAGUUCGUUUGAUACUCUAGCAUUUGUGUUGAUUUUGUGGGGAAGUCUAUGGCAUAAAAGAAUGUUAUUCAGACCUGAUAUCUUGCUCUGCUAUAUUCAAAGAAUUGCAGCAUGUUACUCCAAAUGAUCUCUCGUCUGAUCUUUGAACAGACAUAUAUUACAAAUGUGUUUAGCGGAGUUGCAGAUGUAUUUCUCUCCAAAUGAUCCCAAUUUGAAGUGACAAAUGGGUCGUAAUGUGAUGUAGAAAGAAUACUACACGUGCUUGUUACUCGAACCCAAAUUACAGUUUUCAAAGUGAUAGUCAAAUAUGAUUCUACUGUAUGAAACGAUAGUUUUGUUUAAUGCAGUUGUUACAUGGAUAUGCAAUGCAUUUGUCUUUUUUCAUCACUAAGUACUCAUGUAUACAUGUAAUCAAGUGCAUGAUAAAACUACCCUCUUCUCUUAGACCUUCAUGUCCUUCUUGUUAGAUCUUCUAAUACACUUAAAAGAAGACAUCUUAGUCUCCACUAAACACCAAA